CCACUCCCGGCUCCUCAAUAAACCACCAACUGAAGCUAGGACCAAGUGGCCUGUCUGCGCCCCAACCCUGUGCGGAACCGUCCAUCCUCUGGCCUCAGAGGGCUUCCAGGGCGUCGGGCUCCUGUCUGCGUUUUACAGAAGAGGUAACAGAGGCACUGAGUGGGGGAGGCCUGACCUCAGCGGGCCCUGCAGCUGUCGGGGGCAGGGCCAGCGCUCCAGACAGAGGUGGCUCUGACUCCCAGCGGCCCCGUCCCCUCAGCCCCUCUGUGUCCUGUACCGCCUGGCACCGUGUUGGCACCAGCCGUGUUUACUCAGUGCUGGACCCGAGAGAGCAGAGCCCUCCCUGCCUGGCUCGGGCUCAGCUCUCCAUCUUGCACAUCAGCCUCUCAAACAAGUGUCUGUGGGGGGUGGGGAGGACAAGGUGGCCUCAGGCCAGCGCUCAGGCUUCCAGGGCCUCCAGUCUGGCUGGGCACAAGCUGACCACAGAGGAGACAAAAGGGAGGCAUCCAAGGACAAGACCUAAUUGUGGAGCUCCCAGCUCCAUAGCCACCUGGGGCCAAGACCCCAAGGCUGGGAUUCCAGGCUGGGACACAACCCUUGCUGAUGUCUCCAGAGCCUGGACAGCAUCUGGUACCCUGAACCCCAGUACAGCCACUCAGAAAAAGGGGCAGGCUCCCUCUUCAUAGGAGAAGAAGUUGAGGCCCCCAGAGGGAACAGGGUGGCCCAGGCCAUGUCCAAGAAUGUGCUAGAUGGGGUUUCUUUCUACUCAUUCACUACACCCAGCCUGGGAGGGGACCCAGGGGUGCGGGGGCCACCGUUCCUGAGGCCACAAGAGCAGACUUGGAAGUAGCCACUGGCUCUGCCAGAGGUCCAUCUGCGUCACCUGCCAGGCCUGUGACCCAACUCACCAACAUCUUCCCUGAGACUCUGCAGGCCCCCUGGGAGAGAAGCGCUCUCUCUGCUGGGGGUCUGAAGCCAGCAGACAGGGCUUGGAGCUGCUGGGCGCCAUCUUGGUCUUGCCCUGCCCAGCUGCCAGAGGACAACCCAGCCCAGAGAAGCCCGUACCUGAGAGAGGAGGACCCUGCCCACCUGAGCCGUCACCGGCACACCUGAAUUCAGAGGUACCUCAGGCCAGGCCAUCCCAAGAUGCUGGGCACCAGAGCCAGUACAGCAGAAGCUGAGUGGGGCUGUUCUGUCACCUGUGGCUCAGGAGUUUGGAGCCCACUCUCCCUAUGUCACACCCCAAAGUCCCUCCCUCCAUGACAGAGCUGGCUUUUCCUGGGACCCUGAAGAGGGGACACUGCCUAUGGCCAGGAGCAUAGUCCUGGAGCUCAGUGGCAUGGCUUUGGCAGUGAGGUCCACUGCUUCAUGGCACAUGGGGACAAGGACAGUGGAUGGAAGGAGAUGGAGAGAGUGCUCAGUGGUGGCCACUGUAUCCACUGGUGUCCCAACAAAAAGGCAUGGCACCUUUGGGACAAUUCCAGAAGAGUCUAUUGAAGGUGGGGGUGGAGGGGAACCGGCACAGGAGAAAGAAGGACCCUGGGGAUGGUAAUGGCAGAGGAGAGCCAUAACCCAAAUCCAGAGCCAGAGGACGCCCCGAGGGCAGCAGCAACCUGUGCUCGAGGGACAGGGCCAGCCCAAGAGGGCCUUUCAGUGAGCUGAACUACACCCCAGAGAGUCUCGUCCACCCAAAACUCUGGAAGGUGACCUUAUUCAGAAAUAGGCUCUUUGCAGAUGCAACUAGGUAAGACUCCGAAUGUGCUCGACGGGGUUCCAAUCUGCUCGUUCGGCACACGAGAGCCUCGGUGGGGACCAGGCUGAAGUUACCCCUGCUGGCCCUACGAGAAGAGAGGACACUGAGAGAAGAAGAGCAGACGGCCAUGUGAGGACAGGGGCAGAGAUGGCAGUGAUGUGACACAAACCAGGGGAGCUGGGGCCACGAAGCUGGAAGAGCCCAGGAGGGGUGUGGCCCUACUUUGGAGACCGCUGGCCUCCUGGGCUGAGUGAGUGGGCCUUGUCUUAAGCCGCUCCACUUGGUGAUAAGGGCAGCUCCAGGAGUGCAGACCUCAGGGGAGGGGACCAGGUGGGUGAGUACCCUGUCCUCGGCCCCCUCCCUCUCUCUAGCCUGUCCUGGGGCUUCCCAACUAGAAGGUGGAGGUCAGGGGAGCCCAGGUGGGGCCUACAGAGCUCAGCCUGAGGCGGGAAGCAGGACCAGGGUGGGGCCGGGCCCAGAAGAUGACAGGGAUAGUUACUGUUCCAGUGACACCCCACCCAGAUGCCCGCCAGACACCUGUGGCUCUCCCGUUCCCACUGAGGUGGGGCCUUGAUGGAGGCCUACCCACCUCCCCGGGUCAGGAGUGGUGUUGGCCUCUGGGCCCAUUUCCUCCCUCUGCUUGUCACGUGGGCAUCCAGGAAGUUUCUCCAGAGAUCCAGCUGCACUUCCCCUCCCAUGCCCACCUGCCCUCUGCCCUGGACCAUCCGGGAAGAAGACAGAAAAGAGGGUUUCCAUCCACAGCAGGGGGCCCAGGCAGGUGUCCCCUGCAGAAGGGCAAGGCCAAAGGAGUUUCGAGAGCUUCGCUUCCAUCUUUCCCCAGCUCCUCCACCCAGAGAAAACAGCAGCCCCCUAACCCCCAGGCUCCAGGUCCCAGAAGCCCUCACACACCCCAAACUGGCUUCAAGGCCCCCGGACUGAGUGACCAAAGUGAGUCCCCACACGUUUCCUAACCACAAAGUGCCAGGGAAAGACUGUGCUCAGGGCUCUCAGGCUUCCAGCACCCCGACACACACACACACACACACACACACACUGCACGUCACAGAUGGAGGACACUCACGCGGGCGAUGCUCAGAGUCUCAUGGAUGCUCCCCAGUGAAACUGCACAGAAAUUCAUAAGCACCCAGGAAACACUUACCAGGCUGCAGACAAAGUGGGCCGAGGCACUGCAGCUGGGACUCCUCCCACUUCUGUCCCACCCAAGGGAACAUCUCAAUACUAGGGUCAGGAGUGGCAUUCUCAGGGACUGAAUCCCAUCUCACGCAGAUUUGAGCAAAAUGGGAUUUAUUGGCUCCUGUAUCAGAAAAGUUCAGGACCAGAUGAAUUGGGUCUUGACAGGGUCCUCAGGGAGCACCCUGUCACCUCCCAGGCACAGGGUCCCUGGAUUUCCCACACAGCCCCAUCUUGAGGUAGGUGAGUUGUCACCUGAGUGGCCUGAUGGCUGCAGCCAUUCCAGGCUUACCUGGACCCUCAGCCACCUCAGAGGGAGGGUGACUCUCUCUUCCCCACGACGUCCACACACAAGCCAAAGCAGAGCCCUGUGGACACGGCCUCCUGCCCUGAGGCCAAGGAGAAGCUCUUGUGCUUGUUUGAAUUUUCUGGUCACACGGUCCAGCCAGGAGCCGGAGAGGGGUCAGCUCUACCCAGACCCAGCACUGAGAGGGGAGGGGGCAAAGGAAGAUCCAGGAGCUUCUGCCAGGAGAAGGGGAGGGACACCAGGCAGUGGACAGGACCAGAGACGGCCCUGGCGGGUUUCCUGCGGAUGCCAUGGCCAACGGCCAGGCUCAGUGGCUUAAGACAACACAGGGGCUACUCUUGGUUCUAGAGGCCGGUGCUGGUUCUUUCUGGAGGCUCCAGGGAGAGUCUAGAGGCCACCUGCAUUCCUGGGCUGGCUGCCCCUCCUCCAUCUGCAACGCCAGAAGAAGGCAGAGUCUCAAGUCUCUUCCUUUCUCUCUCUGUGUGCCUUUCUAUGCAUCUGUCUCUGUGGGUCUCUGUCUGUCUCUCUCCUUGUCUCUGCUCCUCCUGCCUGUCUCUUGAAGGACCCACAGGUUCUGGUGAUGAGGAUGGGGGUGUCUUCAGGGGGCCAUGUUCUGUCCACCACAUCCUCUCAUAAUCAGACAAAUGGGCUUAUAGUCAAGCCCUCGCUCUGACUGAUGGGAAAUGGUCAGCCCUGCCUCCGUGGUCACCAGAAAGUUAGCCUCCUGUCAUCACAAAUGCUGCCCCUGACCUUCCCUGUGCACACAGGGCCCAGCACUCAGGCCAGUGGCAGACAGAGAGCCCACCAAAGGCACCAGGACAUGGCAGAGCAGAGGUUCAGUGGCCAGACACAAGGGGACAUCAUGCCGUCACUGUUCAUAGUUUCAGAGUACCAGGAAGUCACAGCAAAAUCCAACUGGGGUCAGGAUCUGACGCGAGUUGAGAGACAGCCUCACCAGGCCCUCGGCAGAGUUUGCACUGACAUAUUCCAAACCAAUAAAGAGCUUUAAGAUUAAAAAAGA
RNAcentral lists this long non-coding RNA (4272 nucleotides) under Marmota monax (woodchuck). Lineage: Eukaryota; Metazoa; Chordata; Mammalia; Rodentia; Sciuridae. The record is from RNAcentral.